AGCGAACGCUGGCGGCAGGCUUAACACAUGCAAGUCGAGCGCCUGUAGCAAUACAGGAGCGGCAGACGGGAGAGUAACACGUGGGAACGUACCCUUUGGUUCGGAACAACCCAGGGAAACUUGGACUAAUACCGGAUAAGCCCUAACGGGGAAAGAUUUAUCGCCAAAGGAUCGGCCCGCGUCUGAUUAGCUAGUUGGUGAGGUAACGGCUCACCAAGGCGACGAUCAGUAGCUGGUCGAGAGGAUGAUCAGCCUCACUGGAACUGAGACACGGUCCAGACACCUACGGGUGGCAGCAGUCGAGAAUUUUUCUCAAUGGGGGCAACCCUGAAGGAGCGACGCCGCGUGGAGGAUGAAGGCUUUCGGGUU
RNAcentral lists this ribosomal RNA (369 nucleotides) under uncultured bacterium. Its description in RNAcentral is "bacterial SSU rRNA". It matches the Rfam family "Bacterial small subunit ribosomal RNA", at positions 29 to 424 of the family's 1533-position model. The record is from RNAcentral.